UGCUGGAGGUAUCAGAAGUGCGAAUGCUGACAUAAGUAACGAUAAAGCGGGUGAAAAGCCCGCUCGCCGGAAGACCAAGGGUUCCUGUCCAACGUUAAUCGGGGCAGGGUGAGUCGACCCCUAAGGCGAGGCCGAAAGGCGUAGUCGAUGGGAAACGGGUUAAUAUUCCCGUACUUGGUGUUACUGCGAAGGGGGGACGGAGAAGGCUAUGUUGGCCGGGCGACGGUUGUCCCGGUUUAAGCGUGUAGGUGUGUGUUCCAGGUAAAUCCGGUUCACUUUAACACUGAGGCGUGAUGACGAGGCACUACGGUGCUGAAGCAACAAAUGCCCUGCUUCCAGGAAAAGCCUCUAAGCAUCAGGUAACANGAAAUCGUACCCCAAACCGACACAGGUGGUCAGGUAGAGAAUACCAAGGCGCUUGAGAGAACUCGGGUGAAGGAACUAGGCAAAAUGGUGCCGUAACUUCGGGAGAAGGCACGCUGACACGUAGGUGAAGUGAUUUACUCACGGAGCUGAAGUCAGUCGAAGAUACCAGCUGGCUGCAACUGUUUAUUAAAAACACAGCACUGUGCAAACACGAAAGUGGACGUAUACGGUGUGACGCCUGCCCGGUGCCGGAAGGUUAAUUGAUGGGGUCAGCGUAAGCGAAGCUCCUGAUCGAAGCCCCGGUAAACGGCGGCCGUAACUAUAACGGUCCUAAGGUAGCGAAAUUCCUUGUCGGGUAAGUUCCGACCUGCACGAAUGGCGUAAUGAUGGCCAGGCUGUCUCCACCCGAGACUCAGUGAAAUUGAACUCGCUGUGAAGAUGCAGUGUACCCGCGGCAAGACGGAAAGACCCCGUGAACCUUUACUAUAGCUUGACACUGAACAUUGAGCCUUGAUGUGUAGGAUAGGUGGGAGGCUUUGAAGUGUGGACGCCAGUCUGCAUGGAGCCGACCUUGAAAUACCACCCUUUAAUGUUUGAUGUUCUAACGUGGACCCGUAAUCCGGGUUGCGGACAGUGUCUGGUGGGUAGUUUGACUGGGGCGGUCUCCUCCUAAAGAGUAACGGAGGAGCACGAAGGUUGGCUAAUCCUGGUCGGACAUCAGGAGGUUAGUGCAAUGGCAUAAGCCAGCUUGACUGCGAGCGUGACGGCGCGAGCAGGUGCGAAAGCAGGUCAUAGUGAUCCGGUGGUUCUGAAUGGAAGGGCCAUCGCUCAACGGAUAAAAGGUACUCCGGGGAUAACAGGCUGAUACCGCCCAAGAGUUCAUAUCGACGGCGGUGUUUGGCACCUCGAUGUCGGCUCAUCACAUCCUGGGGCUGAAGUAGGUCCCAAGGGUAUGGCUGUUCGCCAUUUAAAGUGGUACGCGAGCUGGGUUUAGAACGUCGUGAGACAGUUCGGUCCCUAUCUGCCGUGGGCGCUGGAGAACUGAGGGGGGCUGCUCCUAGUACGAGAGGACCGGAGUGGACGCAUCACUGGUGUUCGGGUUGUCAUGCCAAUGGCACUGCCCGGUAGCUAAAUGCGGAAGAGAUAAGUGCUGAAAGCAUCUAAGCACGAAACUUGCCCCGAGAUGAGUUCUCCCUGAGACUUAGAGUCUCCUGAAGGAACGUUGAAGACGACGACGUUGAUAGGCCGGGUGUGUAAGCGCAGCGAUGCGUUGAGCUAACCGGUACUAAUGAACCGUGAGGCUUAACCUUACAACGCCGAAG
This 1688-nucleotide ribosomal RNA is filed under the name Salmonella enterica subsp. enterica serovar Typhimurium str. STm6. Its description in RNAcentral is "bacterial LSU rRNA". It matches the Rfam family "Bacterial large subunit ribosomal RNA", at positions 1271 to 2925 of the family's 2925-position model. The record is from RNAcentral. Lineage: Bacteria; Pseudomonadati; Pseudomonadota; Gammaproteobacteria; Enterobacterales; Enterobacteriaceae.